GCCUUUAUGUGACUGUAAACAAAAGUCAGCCACAAUAAUGACCUUCCCUCGAAGAAGGUCCCCCCUACGGGCCCCUCCUAAAGUUGCUGGGACUCUGAAGGAUUUUCUGAACAAAGACUGCCUUUGAAUCUCCCUGGAAAGGACUAUACCAGGUCCUCCCCACUACACAGAUGGCAGCCAAAGUUCAGCUUUAAAUGUAUAUGUGUAGCUGCUAACCACCAAACAAAUGAUCUCUGCAAGACUGGAACUUCAGAAAAGGAGUGAAGAGAAUGGCCAACCUAAAAAUUGUGAAUCUCAAAGUGUGACCCAUGGAUAUUACAGAAGGUAAGCAAACAACAUUGUGACCUGUAAAUAGCAUACAUAAAGGAACGACAAAAUCUCCAAGGACUACAGAG
Canis lupus familiaris (dog) is the source of this 395-nucleotide long non-coding RNA. RefSeq lists it as uncharacterized. The record is from RefSeq and is a predicted model, not a curated record. The transcript has 3 exons. NCBI's taxonomy places the organism in Eukaryota, Metazoa, Chordata, Mammalia, Carnivora, Canidae.